GCUUUAAUAAUUUAAUAAAAAUAGUAGAUUUGUAAUCUAAAGUUAGGAAAUCCCUUUGAAGCU
This 63-nucleotide transfer RNA is filed under the name Abrus expansivus. RNAcentral's name for it is "tRNA-Thr". It matches the Rfam family "tRNA". Rfam says of the family: Transfer RNA (tRNA) molecules are approximately 80 nucleotides in length. Their secondary structure includes four short double-helical elements and three loops (D, anti-codon, and T loops). Further hydrogen bonds mediate the characteristic L-shaped molecular structure. tRNAs have two regions of fundamental functional importance: the anti-codon, which is responsible for specific mRNA codon recognition, and the 3' end, to which the tRNAs corresponding amino acid is attached (by aminoacyl-tRNA synthetases). tRNAs cope with the degeneracy of the genetic code in two manners: having more than one tRNA (with a specific anti-codon) for a particular amino acid; and 'wobble' base-pairing, i.e. permitting non-standard base-pairing at the 3rd anti-codon position. The record is from RNAcentral. Lineage: Eukaryota; Metazoa; Arthropoda; Insecta; Hemiptera; Cicadellidae.